Long non-coding RNA from Equus caballus (horse), 4697 nucleotides. NCBI's taxonomy places the organism in Eukaryota, Metazoa, Chordata, Mammalia, Perissodactyla, Equidae. The record is from Ensembl.
AUGUAAUGAAUCUGCCAUAAAGACACAAAAGGAUGGGGUUUGGGGAUCCUCCGGGUUGGAGAGCACAUGGAGGUGCUGGGAGAGCGGCAUGUCCGGAGAGGGCGUGGAAGCUCUGAGCCUUUUCCCUAAAACUUGUCCUACACAUCUCUUCUGGCUGUUCAUGAGUUAUAUAAUCAAAAAAAACCGUGGGAACAGAUGGCCUUUCUUCUUCCUCUGGAUGCUCUUGACUCUGAAUGUUGUACCAGAACUGCCGCUACAGCCAUUUGUGACUGCCUGGGGGUGAAGCCAACACGGAAGAGGGCAGAGAGAGGAGAUGGAAAGAACCUGGGUUCUUGAUGACAUCACUGAGAGGCUGAAUCAACCUCCCCUGGGCGUGACCUCUCUGUGGCCUUCCUGUUAUGUGAGAUAAUGAACUCCUUUAUUGUUUGAGUGGGACUUUCCGUUACUUGCAGCCAAAGCUCUCUAACCAAUACACGCUCACUGAAUCAGAAUCUCCUGUCGCGAAACUGUCCCAGGUGAAUGAGGAUCCCAGACGAGGGUGGAACUUUAUGACGUCAACAUCCGCUUCCGAGGGCUGAAGAUCUGCCUUCCCGACCAAUGCGCAUUACCUUUAAGCAGGACUCAAGGUUCUGCCCUGUUAAAUAGGAGAAUGGUCCAAGAUGAGCGACAGCAAAUAGACUUCAACUCAAGUUCUCCGCGGAUGGCCACCUGGAGCUCUAUGUUGAGAAGAAUUCUGAGGCUGAACACCAUGAUCAAUUAAUGAUGUCUGUCAUGGCUUCAGGAUGGAGAGAAGCUAUGCAGUUGAGUUGAGAUCUCUGGAAUAGAGCCCUGGAGCAGCUGGAGAAUGCCGAGGAAAGUCUUAUGGAGAAGGAACUCUGGUCCACACUUCCCAAAUUUGGACUGGAGAGAGGAAUCCAGAGGAUAUAUUCAGCUGGUCCUGGGACAGAAAAUACCCAGCACUUGUGCUGACCCUUCCCUGUCCUGUGCUCAUGGCAGACAUUGCUAAUCAAUCACAGUGAACUGUCCUGGAGGCCGGGAUGUGGCUUCACAGCCCUUUUCGACACUGCAUUCUAGGCAGCCACUACCAAUCGAAUGGGCUUGGUAUGAGAGAACUGUAUCGGGUCUCGCUGAUGGCCGUCCCAAGACCUCACCCAUCUCCUCUUCCCAACUUCCACCAUGUGGGAGGGAAGGAGUAUAGCACGUUCGUUGUGGUUCUGGCGUCAGACCACUGGGGUUUGAAUCCCAGUUCCACCCCCGAGUCUGUGUGGUCUUUGUCUUGUUGCUUAUCCACACCAAGCCUCAACUUCCCCUCCUGUGAAAUGCAGGCAACGCCAGCCUUUACCUCAUAGGAAAUAUUGUGAUUACGGUGGUGUGUACGUGUGUGUGUGUAUAAAUACAGUGUAUCUACCAUGAUAUCUGGCUAGAUGCCCCACAAAUGAGAUUCCUUUCUUUUCCCUAUAAGGAGUCCCACAGACGGGUUUGGGGUUGAGUUUGGCCUCGCUGGAAGGUAGAAGCGUGAGAGGUGGACGAGGAUUGGAGGGAGAUGGGGCAGUCAGGGACUAGAUCACGCCGGGCUUGAAGUCAGGGUAGAGAUUUCUGUCUUUUUCUUAAGAUCGAAUGGAGCAGGAGAUGGGCAAGUAUGACUCCUCAGAGUUUGUCAUUCUCCCUCCCACCAUAGGGCUUUUGUACAAGUGUGUCUCCUUUGCUGGAAUGCUCUACUUUUGUCUCCUGUCUCAAACCCAUCCUGCAUCUAGUUAACUCCCAAGGGUCUUCCAGAUGGCUGUCAACCAUCGCCUCCUCAGGGAAGCCUUCCCUGAUCUCCCACCCCCUUCUAUUAUAUGCUCCCAGAGGUUCACAUCCUCAACCUUCAUGCGCCCUACCCUUGCAGUUUCACAUUUGAUUGCUUGGUUCUAUGACAAAACCAAUCUCCUCCACUGGACUGUAAGCUCGCUGAGGCCAGGGCUUUGCUUUGCUCACCAUUUUCUCCCUAGAGCCAGCACCUUGCCUGAUACACAGCAGAUGCCGAACUCGUUAUUUACUGAAUAAAGGAAGGAAAAUAGAUUGGCAUCGUGUUCUAGAAAUGUUGCUCUGGUCACAUGGUAGAGAGGACACUGGGCUACAGCAGAGGCAGGGAGACCAGCGAGGAGGUCAUGAAAUGAAAAGUCAAAGUAGCUUGAACUAAGGUGGUGACAACACGGAUAAAGGGAAGUAGAUGAUGUCAAGAGCUAAGAAGGAAGCUUUGUCAAUAAACUACUGGCAGGCAUUUUUCUUCAUUCUUCUUUUCUUUUUUGGAUUAUACAACUGCCUUUCGGCUUAAUAGAAAUUCCCAAGGGAUACGAAGAAGAAAGAAAGUAAAAUAUAAAGCUAUUUUGCAAACUUGGAUGGGGGAAGGCUUGUCAUCCCCAGGCUAAUCAGAAGUGGGCAGAGCCCAUCUGGCAAACCCUGUCCCUCUGGUCCCCCAGCAAAGGUUGUUAACCAGCCUUUGAAAUCGGCACCUUGUUCUGCCAGCUCGCAGCUCCAAAUGCCCAGUAGGAGUGUCUUGUGAGCUCGGUGAAUAACUGCCGAGGGGAGAAGAACAGGCCUAUUGAAGACGUCAAAGCCAAAAUUCACGUUUGAACUGUGAUGGGCCCUGCCGAGCAUUUUAUGAAUAUGCAGAAUCAAACAGGAGCCAGUAGAAGCCAGAGGGAGCGGGCAGAAAGAAGCUCUCUUUAACAUCCCAGCCAGUGGAGGCACACGUUUCAACUCAUUAAAACACACAACAGGCUGUUAGAGACGUUUUCAAAAGGAGCUUUCUAUUCAGUAAUAUCCUAGGGGACUUUAGUUUUUUUUUCUCUUUGGAGAAAGUUUUCCAGGGGCAACACCAAAGGUUCUAAGGCAGGCCGUUGUCUCAAAGGGCUGGACGGAAGUGGAGGGCAGCUUUCCUGCUGGUGACAAGGUGACAAAUCCGAUCCCAGAUCUGGGCUUUCAAAAGACACUUUCCUCCCUUUCCAGCAAAUCUGUCUAAUCUCCCAGAUUCAUUUACACUCUUCCGUUUGAUGGUCUUCACUUGACAGCGUGGCCCAUAUGCUUGGUGCUUUUGAUGGAAAUGGUUCUGCUUGAGUUCCCUUAUUUAGUUUUAAUUUCCUAAUUUUAGGUUCGGCUCUGGGUUUUUUAGCCGCUUGCGAAAGCGAGCGAAUGGCUCCCUCUCCUUCUGCAUGCCUCAGUGGAAUACUCCGUCCUCCUCCCCCGAGCCUGAAGUUCCUGCAUCAGGUCACCUUGAAGAUUUCUUGGCAAAACACUGGUGCUGAGCAGACCCUUUUUGCCAGUUACUUAGGCAGGAGUCCAUCUCCCCAGGGGUGGCAGCAGACGCUGUGAUUUUUCCUUGUUAGGUAUUAAAAUCUUCUCUUCUUCCUUCAUUUCCUUGGGUAUCUGAAUCUUUCUUAGUUGACAUCCAAGUCCACAGGAGGCUUCUAUUUCCAUCCUCCUUCUAAACAAAAACCACUUAUGGAAAAGUAAAAAAAUGUAACUACAUUGGAUAAAUAAAUCCUGCUGCUUUCUCUUGUCCAAAUACCAGCUAAUUAGACCCAAGACUGCCUUUAUCAUCAUCUUCAUGGCUGUCUCCUUUGGCAGUUUGUAAAAAUGGCACUGAUUCUUUACCUCUCCCAGAACCAUGUUAUGUGACUUUGCGGAGCCCUCCUUCUCUGACUCUGGACAGCCAUGUGACUUGAUUUGGCCAAUGGGAUGUUAGCAAGUGUGACACAAGUAGAGGCAUGAAAAUGCUUGAUGGUGGGCCUGUCUGCUCUUGUCCUUUGCCACUGCCAUGAGAAGGACAUUCCAAGGCUAGCCCACUGGUCCCAUGGGAGAGCAUGAGAGACACAUGGAGCAGAACUGAAUCUCCCAAGCCCGCUGGUCCCAGGGGUGAGCAUGAGAGACACAUGGAGCAGAACUGAAUCUCCCAGUCAUUCCAGCUGACGUCUUGUGAUGACCAGAACUGUCCAGCCAACUAGACUCAUGAGCUGAAAUAAUUAUCUAUUGUGUCAAGACAGUGAGUUUUGGGGCAGUUUGUUACACAGUGUUAUUUUAGCAAUAGAUAACUGCUAUAUCCUGAGAACACAACUAUAAAUUAAUGAUGGUUCUGCAUCUUCUUUCCUGUUGCAAGAAAUACAUGUUAAAUAGUUGGAUGUGCUGUGAGUAAGCCAUGGCUGCAUUGACAAGAGUGUAUCAGCUGGGCUGGUUUCUUUAGGAGAGAUGCCUGAGAGCUUUCAACCAAGAAAACUUAGAAAUAUAACCCCUGGAAGCUGAGGAAGGUCUUCCUUAGUUUCAGGGCUUUUUUCUCCUUUAUUCUUUGGGUGGGAGAAGGUCUGAUUGAGUGGGGAUCGAUAUCUCUGAGAGUCGGCACACGGCCAGCCUGUUGCUUGUCUGGCAAUGGAAUCUAACCAGCUCAUUCCAGUUUGCACAACCUGAUGGCUCUUUUCUGUGUCUUUGGAGGCUGCGUUUAGGAAUGAAACUCACUGGUGUUUGAGAUUUACUGCCCAGUCAAGCCUUGUUCCAUCCAAAUUUCUUUUAAUAGUUUAUCUUUUUAGCUACACCUAUUUUUGCAAUAGGAAUGUUAUCUACGUCUCCAUGAAAAAUUCAUCUCCUGAUAGGUGAUUCAUAACCGUGAUUUCGGAGGAUCCUAAAAGGAACUUUUAUUUCAUUUUUUCAAUAAAAAUAAAUUU